Small nucleolar RNA from Bos grunniens (domestic yak), 133 nucleotides. Its record names the gene SNORA70. It matches the Rfam family "Small nucleolar RNA SNORA70". From Rfam's summary of the family: snoRNA U70 seems to be exclusive to mammals and is a member of the H/ACA class of snoRNA which contain H (ANANNA) and ACA box motifs. H/ACA box snoRNAs are involved in the conversion of uridines to pseudouridines (5-ribosyluracil) a constituent of structural RNAs (transfer, ribosomal, small nuclear, and small nucleolar). Lineage: Eukaryota; Metazoa; Chordata; Mammalia; Artiodactyla; Bovidae. The record is from Ensembl.
GUUCAGCUAUCCUAUAAAAAAGACUUCUUCUCCCCACGGGGGCCCAGUGUGCAGUGGCUGCAUCAGCACCCUCCUCGGUAGUGUAUGCAGCCUGUUGCUCUCCAGGUUGUCCUAAGGCACCUUGGAGACACCC